Molecule: non-coding RNA, 2369 nt
Organism: Durio zibethinus
Lineage: Eukaryota; Viridiplantae; Streptophyta; Magnoliopsida; Malvales; Malvaceae
Source: RefSeq, a predicted model, not a curated record
UUAACUAAAAUUGAAGUUAUGUGACCCGAAAGUUGUAGGCAGGCCGGCCCAUUUUAAGGGAUCAGUAAUUGCUGGCCUUUCUUUAAGACUUGUACAAGAGCCUCCGAGGCCCCAGCCACAGCCUCGCAUCGUUGCGUGGUGGCAGUCUGGCAGAGGCUGAGGAGGCUCACGGCCAGUUGCACAAGAUAUGGACACGAUACACCAAGAAGAAGACCACCCCUUGAUUCCUUCAAGCUCAGAUCAAACUCUACACUUGAACCGCGAACAACAACAGCCUGAAGAGUCAAAUCUGAUAAGCAAAACCUGGGUUGAAUCAAAGAAGCUAUGGUUAGUUGCGGGUCCCUCCAUCUUCAGCCGCGUUGCCAUGUUCUCCAUGACUGUCAUAACUCAAGCAUUCGCUGGCCAUCUUGGUGACCUCAAUCUUGCUGCCAUUUCCUUUGUCACCACUGUCAUUAUUUCCAUUACUUUUGGAUUCUUGUUAGGAAUGGCCAGUGCAUUAGAGACACUAUGUGGACAAGCUUAUGGAGCAAAGCAAUAUCAUAAGUUGGGUAUAUACAUGCAGCGUUCAUGGAUUAUUCUCUUCUUUUGUUCCAUUGUUUUACUACCUUUAUUCAUUUUUGCUGCUCCAAUCUUAAAGCUCAUUGGACAACCAGCCAACGUGGCGGACCAAACAGGUUUAGUUGCAGUUUGGCUAAUACCAUUUCACUUGAGCUUCCCAUUUCAGUUUACAUUGCAGAGGUUCUUACAGAGCCAACUGAAGACUGUAGUGAUUGUUUGGGUUUCUGGGGUUGCUCUUGCGGUUCAUGUGUUAGUCAGUUGGGUUUUUGUUUAUAAGUUGAGGGUUGGGAUUGUUGGGACAGCUAUCACUCUUGAUUUUUCCUGGUGGUUGUCUGUUUUGGGACUUUUUGUUUAUGCUGUUUGCGGUGGUUGUCCACUUUCUUGGACUGGUUUUUCUGCACAGGCUUUCCUUGGGCUUUGGGAUUUCUUCAAACUCUCUCUGGCCUCUGGUAUCAUGCUUUUGUUGGAGAAUUUCUAUUACAGAAUAUUAAUUAUAGUGUCUGGGUAUUUGCACAAUACUGAAAUUGCAAUUGAUGCUCUUUCAAUUUGCAUAUCAAUCUUUGUCUGGGAAUCCAUGAUUCCGCUGGGAUUUUUGGCCGGAACUGGGCUUCCCACAAGAGCAAUGAAGGAUCAAACACCCUUUGAGGCAUGGGGCAGUGAAGCUGGACUAGAAGGGGUACUUGGAGUUGGCUUUGGAGGUGCAGGUGUAGAGAGAGGUGGUAAUCCCUUGUAGGGAGUAGGAGGUGCUUUACCAAUGUAUGGGCCAGUUGCAGCUGUUGGUGGUAAUUUUGGAGGUGGAGUUGGACCUUUACCAGGGCUUGGUGGAUAUAUAUGAGGGUUUAGGGGGUGAUGCCUUACUUGGAGGAGUUGCGUUUGCAGGAUGUGGCGAGGGCAUUGGAACUGGACUAGAAGGGGUACUUGGAGUUGGCUUUGGAGGUGCAGAUUAAUGUGAUGCUGCUGGUGAUGGUGCAUUUGGAGUUUAUUUCUGGUGGUGAUACUGGGACAUUUGUCGGGGUUGGCGGAGACAUGCUGGAUAAGAUGGUAGUGGUGGCGGUGGAGGAGGCUUAUGGUGAACAUCAUGAUGAUGUGGUGCAGAUGGCUUGUGGUGACGGUGGUUGUGUUUUGGUGGAGGUGUUGUCAUGACAUGGUUGCAUGGAAGAGGAGGAGAUGGUGAAGGUGUUGGUGAUGGUGGAGGAAGAGAAUGGCAAGAUACCAAAAGGAUGUCAACAUGAAGAACUUCUUGCUUUAAGAGAUAAAGGACCACCAAAGCAUGGUUUUCUAGUACACCAUGGAGAUCAAUAUGUCCGUUUCCGUGUUAAUUUGCCUAGUUCAAUAAAUGGCCGGCAACAAGAACAUGCAAAGGAGGAAAUUAAUAAUGAAAAUGACAUCACUGUUGAAGGCAAUUGGCUUUAUCAGCAGCUAUCUACUGGUUGAAGUUACAUGUGGGAGACAGUUCCUGAGCAUGUGACGGCUCCUAAGUUUAUGAUUGAGUUUUCUCUACUCGUGCGAAUCCUACUCUUCCUCAAAAAGACAAUGGGCCAAACUUGACUCGAGGCAAUGAACAAGAUAUGCAUGCACAUGGAGGAUAUAAGAAAUGGGCCCCUUUUUUUGUGGCUUCUUCUGUUUAUAGAGGGUUCAAUUCUCUUAACAGUAGUUUCAUGAUUCAUCUGGUUAGCCAUUAUUGAGGCAUUAAAAGAGGGCAUCCUUCUUUAUCACUUGUGGUGCUAUGAUAGACUCAUAGUGGUCUAGAUGUCUGCUCGUAGAAUUGUUGACUUGCUGUAACAGCAUUUGCUUUUCGACCAUCCAAUAAA